UACGGAGGGUGCGAGCGUUGUUCGGAAUCACUGGGCGUAAAGCGCGUGUAGGCGGCCCACUAAGUCUGAUGUGAAAGCCCGGGGCUCACCCCCGGAAGUGCAUUGGAAACUGGUGGACUCGAGUCCCGGAGAGGAGAGUGGAAUUCCUGGUGUAGCGGUGAAAUGCGUAGAUAUCAGGAGGAACACCGGUGGCGAAGGCGGCUCUCUGGACGGUGACUGACGCUGAGGCGCGAAAGCGUGGGGAGCAAACGGG
This 253-nucleotide ribosomal RNA is filed under the name uncultured bacterium. RNAcentral's name for it is "partial 16S ribosomal RNA". It matches the Rfam family "Bacterial small subunit ribosomal RNA", at positions 524 to 776 of the family's 1533-position model. The record is from RNAcentral.